RNAcentral lists this long non-coding RNA (5322 nucleotides) under Hermetia illucens (black soldier fly). RNAcentral describes it as "uncharacterized LOC119650570". The record is from RNAcentral. Lineage: Eukaryota; Metazoa; Arthropoda; Insecta; Diptera; Stratiomyidae.
GACGAUAGAGGUGAAAUGUGGGAAACUCGGAUGCGGCCAAUCGGUCGAAUGCAAAUCGGAAGUGGUGUCGAUGUACACAUUUUUGCCGGGCCGCUCGGCCUUGAAACCUCCCCGCCAAUGGGCAGUCGAAUUUCUCGAUGCUGACCGACAAAAUGGUCUUAGCUCGUUGAUGUUGAUCGGGGGCCAGAUGGGGCACCGAACGAGAACAGCAAAAAGUGAAGAUACAUUGUGGAACGAAAAGCCUGGGCGCGGGGGAUCGGCAGAUUCGAGCUGGCCUGUGUUCGUGCCAUAAAAUGCUGUUUGUAUAUAAACAUUGUAAAUUCAUUUAGAUGCUCUCCUUCUGCGAGGUGGGCCUCGGAUAAUGUUUUUAUUCAUUUCUGGCCUGCACCUCGUCGGCUCUGCUCGGCCGUGGAGAGCCAGCCAGCAACAUUGUCGCUCUUCUGGCCUAUGUUUACCGUGAGAACGAUUCAAGAAGAAAGCAUGAAUUGGCUGCCGGCUCGAUGGAGCUCACCGCAUGCCCCAUUGGGUUGCCAAGACGUGCCGGCAGGCAAUCUCCCGAAAUCCUCCCCUUCGCACAACAGUUUGAUAAAUGUAUGGCAAUUUGCAAUUUGUUUGUUUUUACUAUUCUGCUCCGGAGCUCGGAUUGUGCGUACAGUUGUGCGCCUUUUGGCUGGCACGCCACCGCGCCCCGUGGACACUUCCUAGUUCUGAACGAAAGCAUGAAAUGCGCGACUAAGAUGUUGAUCUAGCGGUUGGGGCGGUAGGGCGCGCGCAAAGUAAACAUUUUCAUUUAUAUUUAUCGGCUCGGGUCUUUGACACUUGGGCCCAGCACUGUUUGCUGUACACAAGUCGAGUACAUGAUUUUCUUCGAAGUGAAAUUUAGCGGGAAAUCCAUUCACUGACGGAACGCAGAGGUAAAAGUCUUGGAAAGGGCUGUGGGCCCGAAAAGCGGGGAUGCGUGGCCUCUGUGGGUGGUGUUAAGGUCGUUGAAUGAAAAACGCGCGGCAAUGAAAUCGCAAGGUUCUCUAUGAUAUGCUGAUAAGAAGGCGAAUUUCUCAUGGGAAAUGUUUUCCCUUGCAUGAAGUUGAGCCUCCGGUGUCAGCGUAGGGUCGCCGGGGAGCACGCAAGUGGGCGACUGGAUUAUUUGUAGCCCAAGUGGAUGUUGUGGAUUUUUCAAGGCUGUCGUUGAGGUUGAAUUGCGAUUGUUUUAGAUGCGAUUGAUUGAUGUUUAUGGUUAGAGCUUGAUGGAUUUGGGGUUCUGAAUGGGUGCCUGAAUCCGGCAGUAAGUGGUUGAUAAGAGCUCACUUAGUGUAGUGAAUGCGAGCAGCGGGGAGUGGAGAACGAUUCGGAUUUUUUCGGGGUCAAUGAAAUUUGUUCUGGAGCUUUUUUCAUUUGGUAAUUAUCAUCUCAAUUGCCGCCUAGAUAGUGCGUGUGUUGUGUUUUCGAGGCGAAAUUGGAAAUAUUGUUUAUUUUUGGAAUUUACAUACAUAUUCAGACUUUAUAUAAGUUCCACAUUGAUAGAAAAUUUAUGAAGUUUAUUUGUAGAUUGUAGUGAAGCAAGUGAGGUGAGGUAUUGGAGACUUGGAUGAAAUUUUUAGCUUCUCUGAAAUGAUCUACAAGAGCUUGCAAUAAAUAUUACUGAAUGUUUGAAAUGCUAUGUAAGGAGCGAUUUGGCUGUAGAGUGGUAGAAUUGAAGCAAUUGACAUAUCUGGUAUUCGCUAUGUUUAGGCAAAAGGGUAUCUAUUAUUUUCAUCAUUUAGGGAUUUUACCAUCAAACGGGAGAUUAAUUUACCUCAUCAAUGGGUUAAAUUUUAGAGGUUAUAUGAGGUAUGAAUUUAGUUUCUACCUAGCUUUAAAGGUGAAAAGGUCGCAAAGAUGCUUCCGUCAACAACUUGUUAGAAUAAUACCAAGCUCGGAAAGCAUUCCAAUCAAUCUUCUAAAGCAAGUAGGAGGGAAAUUGUAGAGUGAUCGAAAUUAUUGUUUCUUGUUAGCACUGAUGGGUUCUUCUUCCACAUAUUGACUGCCAAAAGCGGAUCAAAGUUGUCAAAAAUGUUGAAUAUAUUCGGCAGAAACUUUUCUUCAUUAUUGGAGAAGAAUGGAAGUCGCGAAGUUUACCGUCAACAUAAUCCAGCAGGUUCUUAAUAAUAUUGUACUCCGAAAUUACGAUAUUACAUAUCUUACAUUCGACAUCUGCCUCAAUGCCUCAAGGCCUCAAUGGUUUUAUUUUUUUGUUGCAUUAUGGCUCAUAACAUAACAUUUAUAUCAUGUUAUAACAUUUUUGUUGAAACUUGGGGGAAUUCCCCAAAAUGCUUUCACUUCUGAAUACAUUUACUGAGACCGUUUAUUUUUCAACUAGCUUUUAUUUAUUGUAUCUUCUCUGGUUUAAAAAUUUUACAAUAAUUUUUCGAAUCUUAAAAGCCAAUCGUAUAUGUCAUUUCGUAUCCCAUGUUACUUUCAUAAAAAGACAUUACUUAAACUCUUGGAUAUCCAACAAUUGGUUCCAAGUAUAAAAUGUCGGAAAAGCAGAACGCUUGAAUUAUGAAAGGUUUUGUGUUUUCUUACAAAAGAUGAUGAGGUUUUAGUGGCCAUAUCGCCCAUUUUUACCUAGCACGUAAUGUUGCAUUUAGUUUGUCAAACUAUUCACUUAGUGUGAUUCUGACACUCAAUGCCUUAGAUUGCAAUAAAUUUGCACAAAAGAUAACUUUAUUAAUAACAGUGCAGUUUCCCUCAAGUAUAGUAUAUAUUACUGCAAAACUUGAUGAUUCUAGAAUAAAUUUAAGGAGGUUUCAAGAUUAAGGACUAAUAACAAAUAUAGUAAUAUGCUGUUUUUAACUUUAUUUAAAUUUAUGUCGGUAUGGAGAAGGAAGGAGAGCAACCUGUGUAUGGACCACCAUAAUCUUUUCAGAUUUUGAGGUUGUAUAGUUUCUGGGAACGGAACCUUGAAGUAAUUGACCUCCUUCUCUUUGCAACGAAUGCUAAAACUAAUAUCGACUUCAAUACGUAUGUAUGGGAUCCCUCCCUCUUAAACUCAAUGUAGAACAAUGUUACUGAUUGCAUGCGAGUCAAUCCCCACAUUUUCUGCAAUUUCGUAUCAAUAAGGGUAACAGAUAGACCAUAAUUCGAUUUUAAUAAAAAAUUUUUUACAAAAAAUGCUUCUCGCGAUAAGUCUUAGGAUGAGUUUGGAGCAAAUUUUAGCUAGUUCAGUCAGGUAGCUUGUUAGUUCUGCCCAAUAUCCAUCUAUGUGGGGGGGUUAAGACCCCUUUGUAAAAUAGAAGUUUACACUCUAAUUGAAUAAGUAGAUCGAUGAAUAAGCGAUCGAAAAUUACCCAAUUUGGAAAAAAAAUUGAAGGUUGCAAUAUGUACACCUCUAACGCAUUAAAAAAGUAUAGGUGAAAUGACUGCGUGCGAAAACAUUGUGUAUCUACAGCUCCUAAUGAAAUAUAGAUACAUACAUCACUAUCCAAAUUUCAGACUCCAUUAAGGAGUUUUACUUGUUUUCGGAUUCGCGCUCAAGACAAAACUGGAAUCAUAUCCUUAUUUGUAUUUCAAUGGGACUAACAGCGAUUUCUGGGCGCUCUACAAAUUUUCCAUUAUUUCCCAAAGCAUGUUCAUUAAUUCUACCAUGUAACUAUAAUUUGUAGUGGUUAAACCCCGCAUUAAGAAACAAAACCAUCUGUAUCUGCUUCAAUAAUAUGAGGAAUUCAUCCAAAUGUAGCAUAUGACUUCUUUAUAAAUUUGAAGGAUAUCAAUUUGCAUUGAAUCCUGUUGGGGGAAGCACCUAACUAAAAGUAACAAUGGACUGGACAUCCAAUAGAAAAAAAUGAACCACAACCCUACCAGAUUUGUCAGAUUCACAGGACGAUUCAUUAACACUGGAUCAAUCAGCACAUGAUAAAUUUCCAAGUAUGGAAAAUGGAGAGAUACCUGUUCUUAAAAUAUAUUUUCUAUUAUCGUGAUGCUACCUCGUUCCUAAAAGUUAGCAAAGUGUAUUUUGAGAAGAUUUCUACCUUCAAUGAAUAAAUUUUAGCUAUUCACCCUAAUUUUUAAGUUUCGAAACUAGUAUUUCAUUAAUAUACCUAACAAUAAAACAUAUAAUGUUCCCAAGAUUUUCCGACCGAAUCUUUCUCUCUCUCUCCACAACUUUUAUUUACGAGCAAAAUUUUAUUAGGCAGUUUCAUAGUGCAGGCCAAAUUGUUUUUUUUUUUGAUUCUUAAUGCAGGUAGAUAAGGGAGACUGUAACAAAAGUCUUUCCGGUCACGGCAAUUUUGUUAACGGAACAGUAUAGAAAUUAACGUUUCGUGUAAAAUAUAUCGUAGUUCUACUUCGAUUACAGUUCUGCAAGCAAUCCCUUGCAAUUUUUUAUCUAACUCUCCUUAGAUUUUUACGUAGUUGCUAACUAGUUUAACGCUGCGGCUUUUUUUUAAUAGUUAGAAGUAAUGUUUUCGAAAGUAACAUCUCAAUAUGCCAUCGUACAUUUCACGAGCAAUAACCGCCUUCAGCCCAAAUAUAUCACAUCGAAACCAUGGGUAUUUGAGCUUUUAAGUUGUAAAAUUUCAUCUAUUUUCUAUUAAACCAGGUUGCAUUGAUUCCACGGAAACGUCCGCCUCAACAACAGAAAAUGCGUUGCUGACAAGUCCUUAUUUAAGUUAUAUCCUACUUUUUGUAUUUUUUGUUAUAUCAUAUAUCAACGUAUUAUAUUCAAAUAGCAAGUUUUCAUAUAUUUAACGACAUACCAGUGUCGGAUUCACAUUUAUUGGAAGAUCGCACAGCAUCUUAGGCGCCAUGUGCUACAGAAAAUUCCUUGCAGGUAGAAAUUUUCAUAACUUUCGAAGAUUCAAUUCUUGCCUUAGAAUUCAAUUGUCACAUGAUUUUCCACCCACUACCAGAGGACACAUUUUUUCAAUCUCCUAAUAUUUUUCCCAAAUUCAUUUCAAGAAGUUUCCCAAAUUAAGGUUCGGGAAUAACCUUGAAAAAGUAUCAAAUUCAACACAUGCCGCUUAAGGCCAUAGUAGAAUCAGACGUGAUGAAGGCAAAAUUCGGACAGUACCCUGCUCUUUGAAAAAAAAACGUUUUUACCUGCUAAGGAAUUGAAAAACAAUAAAUUGCUUGACCUUUUUGAAAUGAAACCGUUUUGUAUGAUUUGAAUAUUUUCAGACACAUACUAACAUUAACGCCAUCCAUUUAUUGCUUAAAUGAUAUUUUCUAAAGCUUGGUAAACUUGAAACAUGUUAUUAAAUAUGAAAACGCUCUACGUUUGUAGUUGAGCUAGGUAAAGGGAUCGGAAAUGGAGCCUCCAGAAAUAAAUCGGUUUACUUCAAUAAA